This 169-nucleotide small RNA is filed under the name Chrysemys picta bellii (western painted turtle). RNAcentral describes it as "TUC338 (ENSCPBG00000016976.1)". Lineage: Eukaryota; Metazoa; Chordata; Testudines; Emydidae. The record is from RNAcentral.
UUGAGAGCCAGUGGGAGUGAAGUCCUCUUUGUGCACAGAACCGAUAUAUGAGUAGCAGCAGUGCAAGCUUCCCAAUGCUGCUUUGCCAAUGUGCCUAAACCCUGACCUGCAAAGUCAAUCUCUAGCCUCGAGAUGCAUCAAAUUAAUAGCCUGCCUCUUUGUUGAUACU